This 406-nucleotide ribosomal RNA is filed under the name uncultured bacterium. Its description in RNAcentral is "partial 16S ribosomal RNA". It matches the Rfam family "Bacterial small subunit ribosomal RNA", at positions 29 to 526 of the family's 1533-position model. The record is from RNAcentral.
AUUGAACGCUGGCGGCAGGCCUAACACAUGCAAGUCGAGCGAGCGGCGGACGGGUGAGUAAUGUCUGGGAAACUGCCUGAUGGAGGGGGAUAACUACUGGAAACGGUAGCUAAUACCGCAUACCAUCAGAUGUGCCCAGUUGGGAUUGGCUAGUGGGUGGGGUAAUGGCUCACCUAGGCGACGAUCCCUAGCUGGUCUGAGAGGAUGACCAGCCACACUGGAACUGGGACACGGUCCAGACGCCUACGGGAGGCAGCAGUGGGGAAUAUUGGACAAGGGGGGCAAGCCUGAGGCAGACAUGCCGGGUGUAUGAAGAGGGCCUUCGGUCGGUAAAGUACUUUCAGCGGGGAGGCGUUACCCGCAGAAGAAGCACCGGCUAACUACGUGCCAGCAGCCGCGGUAAUUC